RNAcentral lists this ribosomal RNA (1015 nucleotides) under Pediococcus pentosaceus. RNAcentral describes it as "bacterial SSU rRNA". It matches the Rfam family "Bacterial small subunit ribosomal RNA", at positions 47 to 1010 of the family's 1533-position model. Lineage: Bacteria; Bacillati; Bacillota; Bacilli; Lactobacillales; Lactobacillaceae. The record is from RNAcentral.
CCUAAUACAUGCAGUCGUACGAACUUCCGUUAAUUGAUUAUGACGUACUUGUACUGAUUGAGAUUUUAACACGAAGUGAGUGGCGAACGGGUGAGUAACACGUGGGUAACCUGCCCAGAAGUAGGGGAUAACACCUGGAAACAGAUGCUAAUACCGUAUAACAGAGAAAACCGCAUGGUUUUCUUUUAAAAGAUGGCUCUGCUAUCACUUCUGGAUGGACCCGCGGCGUAUUAGCUAGUUGGUGAGGUAAAGGCUCACCAAGGCAGUGAUACGUAGCCGACCUGAGAGGGUAAUCGGCCACAUUGGGACUGAGACACGGCCCAKACUCCUACGGGAGGCAGCAKKAGGGAAUCUUCCACAAUGGACGCAAGUCUGAUGGAGCAACGCCGCGUGAGUGAAGAAGGGUUUCGGCUCGUAAAGCUCUGUUGUUAAAGAAGAACGUGGGUAAGAGUAACUGUUUACCCAGUGACGGUAUUUAACCAGAAAGCCACGGCUAACUACGUGCCAGCAGCCGCGGUAAUACGUAGGUGGCAAGCGUUAUCCGGAUUUAUUGGGCGUAAAGCGAGCGCAGGCGGUCUUUUAAGUCUAAUGUGAAAGCCUUCGGCUCAACCGAAGAAGUGCAUUGGAAACUGGGAGACUUGAGUGCAGAAGAGGACAGUGGAACUCCAUGUGUAGCGGUGAAAUGCGUACAUAUAUGGAAGAACACCAGUGGCGAAGGCGGCUGUCUGGUCUGCAACUGACGCUGAGGCUCGAAAGCAUGGGUAGCGAACAGGAUUAGAUACCCUGGUAGUCCAUGCCGUAAACGAUGAUUACUAAGUGUUGGAGGGUUUCCGCCCUUCAGUGGCUGCCGCUAACGCAUUAAGAAAUCCGCCUGGGGAGCACGACCGACAGGGCUGAACUCAAUUGAAUUGACGGGGUCCCGCACAAGCGGUGCAGCAUGUGAUUAACUUCGAUGCUACGCCGAGGAAUCCUUACCAGGGUCUUUGACGAUCUACUGACAGUCCUAGGAGAUUAC